Molecule: ribosomal RNA, 514 nt
Filed under: Euphausia pacifica (North Pacific krill)
Lineage: Eukaryota; Metazoa; Arthropoda; Malacostraca; Euphausiacea; Euphausiidae
Description: partial 16S ribosomal RNA
Rfam family: Bacterial large subunit ribosomal RNA
Source: RNAcentral
GUCUUUAUGAAAUAUUUAUAAAGUCUGGCCUGCCCACUGAAUUUUAAAGGGCCGCGGUAUUUUGACCGUGCAAAGGUAGCAUAGUCAUUUGUCUCUUAAUUGGAGGCUUGUAUGAAUGGUCGCACAAGAAACAAACUGUCUUCAAUAAAAUUAAUUGAAUUUAACUUUUAAGUAAAAAGGCUUAAAUAAAUUAAAGUGACGAUAAGACCCUAUAAAACUUGAUAAAUAAAAUUAAAAAAGCGUAUUAGUUUAUUAAAACUUUUUUUUUCUAACUUAUUUUAUUGGGGCGAUAAAAAUAUAAAAAGUAACUGUUUUUAAAAUUUUAAUGGCUAAUAACUAAAUUAAAUAAAUGAUCCUUUAAUAAAGAUUAAAAGAUUAAGUUACUUUAGGGAUAACAGCGUAAUUUUCUUUGAGAGUUCAUAUCUACAAGAAAGAUUACGACCUCGAUGUUGAAUUAAAAAAUCUUUAAGGUGUAGCAGCUUUAAAAGAAGGUCUGUUCGACCUUUAAAUUUUU